UUAAAACUCAAAUGAAUUGACGGGGGCCCGCACAAGCGGUGGAGCAUGUGGUUUAAUUCGAUGCAACGCGAAGAACCUUACCUGGUCUUGACAUCCACGGAAGUUUUCAGAGAUGAGAAUGUGCCUUCGGGAACCGUGAGACAGGUGCUGCAUGGCUGUCGUCAGCUCGUGUUGUGAAAUGUUGGGUUAAGUCCCGCAACGAGCGCAACCCUUAUCCUUUGUUGCCAGCGGUCCGGCCGGGAACUCAAAGGAGACUGCCAGUGAUAAACUGGAGGAAGGUGGGGAUGACGUCAAGUCAUCAUGGCCCUUACGACCAGGGCUACACACGUGCUACAAUGGCGCAUACAAAGAGAAGCGACCUCGCGAGAGCAAGCGGACCUCAUAAAGUGCGUCGUAGUCCGGAUUGGAGUCUGCAACUCGACUCCAUGAAGUCGGAAUCGCUAGUAAUCGUGGAUCAGAAUGCCACGGUGAAUACGUUCCCGGGCCUUGUACACACCGCCCGUCACACCAUGGGAGUGGGUUGCAAAAGAAGUAGGUAGCUUAACCUUCGGGAGGGCGCUUACCACUUUGUGAUUCAUGACUGGGGUGAAGUCGUAACAAGGUAACCGUAGGGGAACCUGCGGUUGGAUCACCUCCUUACCUUAAAGAAGC
This 651-nucleotide ribosomal RNA is filed under the name Shigella flexneri. RNAcentral describes it as "bacterial SSU rRNA". It matches the Rfam family "Bacterial small subunit ribosomal RNA", at positions 894 to 1533 of the family's 1533-position model. Lineage: Bacteria; Pseudomonadati; Pseudomonadota; Gammaproteobacteria; Enterobacterales; Enterobacteriaceae. RNAcentral also lists the same sequence under 2 other names. The record is from RNAcentral.